CUCUCCUAAUGCCAACAAUUUGAACUUAUCUCGUGGUGGUUCGCUCUCUCCCCAACAUUGCAAUUCGUAAUCAAAAGUUAGAGCACAGGCAUGCCGGAACCCAGCAGCAAUCAUGCUAAAAUUCCCUUCGUGAGAGCCAUUGACAGGAGGAUUGUUUCCGAAGCAAGUAAUAUUACCAAAUCUUAAUAAUCCACAAACGAAGUCUUCACCUACUGCAAUACUGGAAAAGCUCAAACUCUGAGCAUGAGCAGAGAUAGACUGGAAU
RNAcentral lists this unclassified non-coding RNA (265 nucleotides) under Hevea brasiliensis (rubber tree). Lineage: Eukaryota; Viridiplantae; Streptophyta; Magnoliopsida; Malpighiales; Euphorbiaceae. The record is from RNAcentral.